AAGCUCGUAGUUGAAUUUCGGGGUCAAUAAGUUGGUCGUGCCAAUGGUAUGCACUGGCUUUAUUGAUUCCUACCCCUUGACGAACUGUGAUGCCAUUAAUUUGGUGUUGCAGGGAAUCAGGACUGUUACCUUGAAAAAAUUAGAGUGUUUAAAGCAGGCUUACGCUUGAAUACAUUAGCAUGGAAUAAUGAAAUAGGACGUUUGAUCCUAUUUUGUUGGUUUCUAGGAUCGACGUAAUGAUUAAUAGGGAUAGUUGGG
Molecule: ribosomal RNA, 258 nt
Filed under: uncultured Glomeromycotina
Lineage: Eukaryota; Fungi; Glomeromycota
Description: partial 18S ribosomal RNA
Rfam family: Eukaryotic small subunit ribosomal RNA
Source: RNAcentral